CAUGUCCUUUAGUUUAUGAUUUAAGGUUUGACCUGCUCAGUGAGUUUUUAAAUUGCCGCAGUAUUUUGACUGUGCAAAGGUAGCAUAAUAAUUAGUCUCUUAAUUAGGGGCUUGAAUGAAUGGUUGGACGAAUUAGUAUCUGUCUCUAUUUGAAUUUCUGUGAAUUUUAUUUUUAAGUUAAAAAGCUUAAAUUUUUUUAAAAGACGAGAAGACCCUAUAGAGUUUUAUAUUUAAUUUUUAAUUUAGAUUUAGAAUAUGAGUUAAUUUUAUCUAUUUGGUUGGGGUGACUUGGAGAUUUGAAUAAUUCUUUAUUUUUAUAAUGAUGAUAGUUGAAUUUAGUAUCUAGAGUUUUUAAAUUUAAAAUAAAUUACCUUAGGGAUAACAGCGUAAUUUUUCUUUAGAGUUCUUAUUGAAAGAAGAGUUUGCGACCUCGAUGUUGGAUUAAAAUAAAUUUUAGGUGUAGGGGCUUAAUAAUUGGGUCUGUUCGACCUUUAAAAUUUUACAUGAUCUGAGUUUAGACCGGCGUGAGCCAGGUUAGAUUCUAUCUUUAAUGUUUUAAUAUACUUUAGUACGAAAGGACCAUGUAUGUGUUAUAUUAAUUG
Molecule: ribosomal RNA, 602 nt
Filed under: Dilophotes sp. AW LB-2014
Lineage: Eukaryota; Metazoa; Arthropoda; Insecta; Coleoptera; Lycidae
Description: partial 16S ribosomal RNA
Rfam family: Bacterial large subunit ribosomal RNA
Source: RNAcentral